GGAAGAUGGGGCUGUAGGUGGAAUAGGAAACUGGGGUAGUCUGCUCUAGAAUAGAAGCAUCAGGCAUAGUGAUAGAAGGGCGGCUACCAUCACCUACAGUAUCAAAUAGUGAUUCAUCAGCCACUCCUGAAGUGGCAUUAGCAUCAGCUUCCAGUCCAGUUCUCGCUUUCUUUUUAGGUUACAUUUACUGAAAGAUAGAACAAUGCACUAAUUAGAGAGGGAACAAUUUUUCCAUACAACCCAGAAUAUCA
RNAcentral lists this long non-coding RNA (251 nucleotides) under Nicotiana benthamiana. RNAcentral's name for it is "long non-coding RNA (NBEN_LNC004345)". Lineage: Eukaryota; Viridiplantae; Streptophyta; Magnoliopsida; Solanales; Solanaceae. The record is from RNAcentral.